UACCUGGUGGUCCAGUGGUUAGGACUCAGCACCUUCAUCUCUGGGGCCUGGGUUCAAUCCCUGGCCAGGGAA
This 72-nucleotide transfer RNA is filed under the name Bos taurus (domestic cattle). It matches the Rfam family "tRNA". Rfam says of the family: Transfer RNA (tRNA) molecules are approximately 80 nucleotides in length. Their secondary structure includes four short double-helical elements and three loops (D, anti-codon, and T loops). Lineage: Eukaryota; Metazoa; Chordata; Mammalia; Artiodactyla; Bovidae. The record is from Rfam by way of RNAcentral. RNAcentral also lists the same sequence under 4 other names.